GAUAGCUCAAGGGUAGAGAGUCUGCUUUGAAUGCCGAAGGUCGCAGGUUCGAUUCCCGGCAACUCCA
This is a non-coding RNA of Podarcis lilfordi (Lilford's wall lizard), 67 nucleotides long. NCBI's taxonomy places the organism in Eukaryota, Metazoa, Chordata, Lepidosauria, Squamata, Lacertidae. The record is from the annotation of a GenBank genome assembly.